CUGGCGGCGUGCUUAACACAUGCAAGUCGAGCGAUGAAGCUUCUUCGGAAGUGGAUUAGCGGCGGACGGGUGAGUAACACGUGGGUAACCUGCCUCAUAGAGGGGAAUAGCCUUCCGAAAGGAAGAUUAAUACCGCAUAAGAUUGUAAUAUCGCAUGAUAUAGCAAUUAAAGGAGUAAUCCGCUAUGAGAUGGACCCGCGUCGCAUUAGCUAGUUGGUGAGGUAACGGCUCACCAAGGCGACGAUGAUACGUAGCCGACCUGAGAGGGUGAUCGGCCACAUUGGGACUGAGACACGGCCCAAACUCCUACGGGAGGCAGCAGUAGGGAAUCUUCCGCAAUGGACGAAAGUCUGACGGAGCAACGCCGCGUGAGUGAAGAAGGGUUUUUUCCGGAUCGUAAAACUCUGUUGUCAGAGAAGAACAAGUUGGAGAGUAACUGCUCCAGCCUUGACGGUAUCUGACCAGAAAGCCACGGCUAACUACGUGCCAGCAGCAGC
This 497-nucleotide ribosomal RNA is filed under the name uncultured bacterium. RNAcentral describes it as "bacterial SSU rRNA". It matches the Rfam family "Bacterial small subunit ribosomal RNA", at positions 36 to 518 of the family's 1533-position model. The record is from RNAcentral.